AACGAACGCUGGCGGCGCGUCUUAACCAUGCAAGUCGAGCGGCAGCCCGCAAUGCCGUGGCCGGCGGACUGGGGAGUAACCGGUGGAUAACGUACCCCGUUGUCCGGGACAGCUUGUGGAAAUAGAGGGUAAUACCGGUUAGAUCACUGUUUCCUUCGGGUAACCGGCGGGAACAGGGCUUCUGCUCCGCGAGGGCAUCGGUCUGCGUCCCAUCAGCUGGACGGCGGGGUAAAGGCCCGCCGUGGCGAGGACGGGUAUCCGGCCUGAGAGGGCGGACGGACACAUUGGAACUGAGACACGGCCCAGACUCCUACGGGAGGCAGCAGGUAAGAAUAUUCCGCAAUGGGGGGAAGCCUGACGGAGCGACGCCGCGUGAACGAAGAAGGCCGGAAGGUUGUAAAGUUCUUUUCUGGCCGAGGAAUAAGUUUCGGAGGAAAUGCCGGGACGGUGGCGGUAGGGCAGGAAUAAGCACCGGCUAAUUACGUG
RNAcentral lists this ribosomal RNA (486 nucleotides) under uncultured bacterium. RNAcentral's name for it is "partial 16S ribosomal RNA". It matches the Rfam family "Bacterial small subunit ribosomal RNA", at positions 28 to 507 of the family's 1533-position model. The record is from RNAcentral.